CAUUAUAACAGGAGCAGGAGGCUGCGGCAUAGCUUCUUUUUUCCUUAUUAUGAGUUCGCAACCAUUCUGCUUUAGCUGCAGCUCUGUUAUAUCUCUUGAAUCCACAAGCUUCACAAGAUCUGAAACUUCAGCCAUGAAUGUGGAUAUGGCAGAAUCUGACAAUGCAACUUGACUGGAUUCCAUUGCUGCCUCAGCAUCUUUGCCACCAGAUGAAGGAACUUCCGACUUGGUUGACGACACCGGGG
RNAcentral lists this unclassified non-coding RNA (245 nucleotides) under Hevea brasiliensis (rubber tree). Lineage: Eukaryota; Viridiplantae; Streptophyta; Magnoliopsida; Malpighiales; Euphorbiaceae. The record is from RNAcentral.